ACAUCCAGCGAACUUGGCAGAGAUGCCUUGGUGCCUUCGGGAACGCUGAGACAGGUGCUGCAUGGCUGUCGUCAGCUCGUGUUGUGAAAUGUUGGGUUAAGUCCCGNAACGAGCGCAACCCUUAUCCUUUGUUGCCAGCGAUUCGGUCGGGAACUCAAAGGAGACUGCCGGUGAUAAACCGGAGGAAGGUGGGGAUGACGUCAAGUCAUCAUGGCCCUUACGAGUAGGGCUACACACGUGCUACAAUGGCGCAUACAAAGAGAAGCGACCUCGCGAGAGCAAGCGGACCUCAUAAAGUGCGUCGUAGUCCGGAUCGGAGUCUGCAACUCGACUCCGUGAAGUCGGAAUCGCUAGUAAUCGUGGAUCAGAAUGCCACGGUGAAUACGUUCCCGGGCCUUGUACACACCGCCCGUCACACCAUGGGAGUGGGUUGCAAAAGAAGUAGGUAGCUUAACCUCCGGGAGGGCGCUUACCACUUUGUGAUUCAUGACUGGGGUGAAGUCGUAACAAGGUAAGCGUAGCGAG
This 525-nucleotide ribosomal RNA is filed under the name uncultured bacterium. RNAcentral's name for it is "bacterial SSU rRNA". It matches the Rfam family "Bacterial small subunit ribosomal RNA", at positions 984 to 1509 of the family's 1533-position model. The record is from RNAcentral.